CCUACGGGAGGCAGCAGUGGGGAAUAUUGCACAAUGGGGGAAACCCUGAUGCAGCGACGCCGCGUGAAGGAAGAAGUAUCUCGGUAUGUAAACUUCUAUCAGCAGGGGAGAAAAUGACGGUACCCGACUACGAAGCCCCGGCUAACUACGUGCCAGCAGCCGCUGUAAUCCGUAGGGCGCAAGCGUUAUCCGGAUUUACUGGGGGUAAAGGGAGCGUAGGCGGGGAUGCAAGGCAGAAGUGAAAGCCCGGGGCUCAACUCCGGGACUGCUUUUGAAACUGUGUUGCUAGAUUGCAGGAGAGGUAAGUGGAAUUCCUAGUGUAGCGGUGAAAUGCGUAGAUAUUAGGCGGAACACCAGUGGCGAAGGCGGCAUACUGGACUGUAAAUGACGCUGAGGCUCGAAAGCGUGGGGAGCAAACAGGAUUAGAUACCCCUGUAGUC
Molecule: ribosomal RNA, 440 nt
Filed under: uncultured bacterium
Lineage: Bacteria
Description: partial 16S ribosomal RNA
Rfam family: Bacterial small subunit ribosomal RNA
Source: RNAcentral